UUCGGGAAACCAUUCCUCCUCCUGCACGCGACCGAGCCGGAACGCAGAAAAACAGAGCAAAGGAGCUCCGGCCGGGUUCUCCGCCCUCCGGCCACCAAACGACGCCAGACCACCUCCCUUGCCUUCGCCUCGACUACCUGCAGCUGCUGGACGUGGUAUUUUCCACCGGCACGGCCUGAAAACCGGUGAAUCCGAGGUGGUCCGAUCUGAGCUCAAAACGGAGUCAACUCCGAUAUCUCUUGAUUCCGACCACCAAUCUUCAAUUUUCUUGGCUUUUUGAACUCGCCUCAGCCUUCUUAUCAAAACCCAAGAAGGAUCGCUCAACAGGUGGACGUUUUCAAGCUCGUCGGAGCCUCGUCGGAAAACUGGAAAACAAAUCCGGCCACCUCGACUGUUUAGGUGAUUGACGGUCUUCCUUGGUUAGCGGUUGUGGCGUGUUUUGUAAAAAUUGAAGACGCAGCGGGAUUAGAGCGGGAAAUCUUGCAGGUUAGGAGAAUCAGGGCGGUGAUCGUGCGGGUUAGAGUAAUAGUUAUAGUUUUACAGUGAUUGUAAUAGCGAGGUGAGGGAUGCUCGAUUUGAGCUUUACAUGUUUACUUUGUUUUUAAGCGAGUUGUAAUAAUUAAUUUGAGAUUUGAAAUUUGAGUGACUUAAGUUGUAGCUGAUAUUCAUGUUCUGGAUUUGAAUUGUUUAUUCAAAA
Rosa chinensis is the source of this 697-nucleotide long non-coding RNA. RefSeq lists it as uncharacterized. Lineage: Eukaryota; Viridiplantae; Streptophyta; Magnoliopsida; Rosales; Rosaceae. The transcript is spliced from 3 exons. The record is from RefSeq and is a predicted model, not a curated record.